Molecule: non-coding RNA, 2442 nt
Organism: Anas platyrhynchos (mallard)
Lineage: Eukaryota; Metazoa; Chordata; Aves; Anseriformes; Anatidae
Source: RefSeq, a predicted model, not a curated record
GCAAACUGCAUUUAUUAAGCAGCACAGCCUUCUCUAAGAGGCAGAGAAAUUUAUUUGGCACAAGUCUACAAAGUCAUGGAAACAAGAACAACACAAGAAAAAGAAAUGAGUGUUAAAUACGUUGUACUUCUCUUCAUAGGAGGGGUAACUUGUUGAACGAUAACAAGAGAAAUCCUUCUCCAUCUUUUUCUAAUUUUAAUUUAAUAGAAAAUCAAUAUUGAAAUGAAUCAAGAGAGAGACAUCUUUUGAAACAGGAAUUAAAAAAAAAGUCUUUAAUAAAACAAUUUUUGUUUAAUUUUGUAACUUUAUAUAUGCUUGCAUGAAUGAAUUCAAUUUCCUGUUGAAAAGGACAAAACCAGAACACUUUUGGUUUUGAUGAGACCUUUGGAUUGUCUCAUGGGAACAACUCCGACAUUUUUUGCCAUUUUUAACACCAUUAAAGUGAUAUGUGGACUGUAUACACUAUGUUGAAGCCUGAAUCCUGCUUCCUUCAGUGUGGUGUUAAAUGGUCAGUCCUGAAGCUACUGGGGGAAUUGUUAGUACAGCAGUGGUUUAGUUGGAAUACAGAGGCAGGUAAAGGGGAGAGGGAGGGCAUCUGCUGUGGAAAGUGUCCGGGAUCUGCUUGUUUAAAAUACAGUUGGUAGCCUGCAUUAAAGGGGUAUGUCUUCAGCUAUAUCUGGGGAUGAGAUUAUAUCACAUCAGGUUGAUUUCAUAUCUCUGGCCUUGUAGAAUUUAAGUGCUUUUAUAUGAGAAUAAUCCAAUUCUUGAUGUUCUUGGAGAAAUUUGUGUCCCAGAGUUUUGUACACAAAGACUUUUUUUUAGAGGCUGUCCCUGGAUUCCAGAAAACAGAACAUUCAGCUGUGUCCAGCUUUCUUUCAAAGUGUUUGGGUCUUCUGAAUGGACCCAAGAAGAAAGUCAUAUUUCUGUUCUGCAGAGGCUAUUAGGAUAACUACUGUGGCGUUGUUUAACUACAGCUCCCCUAAGAAGGGUGAGCAGAUACAGGUAGAGCAGAUAGAGACGUAAGAAACCUUUUAAAUAACGCAGAUUUUAUUCCCUCUACAAUUUAGUCACCUUUGGUAAGGUUUGAUUGAAAUAUGGGAGGAGGGAGUGCCUAGCUUUGCAGUGGUAAAUUAACAAACCAUUACCACUGGAGUUUAUUCCAAGUGAAAGUGUGGGAAGGAGCGUUGAAUACUAAAAGCUUAGAAAAUUGUUACUCAUUCUUCUUUACUUGAUGACCUUUUGCAAAGCAUUAAAUACUGUUCUUGGAGACUGGAAACACAGGAAGAAGGAUUUUUUUAUUUUUUUUUAGGUAAUGAGCUUAUUUAGUAGCACAAGAUUUUGAUGCUUAAAACUGAGCAAAGAUUAUAAAAAUUGCUGUAAUUUGCUUUAAAGUUAAGCUGCUAAGAGACCAGAGAUGUAACAUGUGCUUUAUGUUUUCAGAUUUACUGCUUUAAGACCCAAUCUUUAUUCGUUUUUCACUCUGGAAAACUGUAGUACCAUUGACAGCUCUUUUCUCUAGAUAAUCUGUAGUAGGAUACCCAAGUGGCUUUUUGAUUUGCUGGACUGGUUAGAGUGAAGAGCUGUAAGGUUGAAUUGCUUUUGACUGACUAAGCUGGGGGGAAGGGGAAGAGAUGAGAUGAAUAAAAAAGAAAGGAACAGCAAAUAACAUCCCCUGAGAACCUCUAGUUUUGAAGCUUAAGAGCUUGCUUAUUACAUAUUAAAAAAUAAUUUCUCACAUUGAUCAAAACAUAUUUAAAAUUAGAGGAAAAUGCAAUGCUAUUGUAAAACUGUAGGUAUCUUUUUGAAUGCUGAUAGUGUAGUGGCUCAUAUGGAAAUGAUUAGACUUCAGUUUUGUUUUGCUUGUACAGCUUGAGAAUUUUUUUCUUGGUCUUGCUGAAACAAAGAUUCUGAUACUGAGGUACCAAGAAUUUUUUUUUCUGGAAUCAUUCAGAAAAAAGUUCAGAAGGGCAGCUACUUCUUCUCAAUAAAAUAAUUCUGUAAAUACUCUGUCCAGCAUUAGCUCUUGUGUUUAAUGCCAAAUUUCUAAAGACUUUUAAUCUACGCUGGCUUUUUUCUUAGUUUUGGCAAACGUAAUAUGAAUGGUUCAUGAACUCUUUAUAGAAAUGGGAAUUUUUGAAGUUUCAUAUGUCCAGUUAAGAGAUCCAAUUAAAAAGAUAGGCAUUUGGAUCAUGUUUUCAAAAGACUUCUGUCUGCAAAAGGAGCAAGCUGUGUGUAUGUUCAGCCAUAUGCCUGUUGUGAUGCCAUGUGUAGAACAGCUGUAGUGGAAUGUGUCUCCUUUCUGACCUGAGGAGAUUAUAUUGAAUAGCUGAUUCCAAGUAAUCAAAUGCUGGAGCUGUACAUAAUAUGUACUAUAAAUGUAUUUUUAGCCUCUAGGAUUAUCUGUCCAUGCGUUAAUUCUGUAAUAAAGUUAGAGCAUGUGGA